This 223-nucleotide ribosomal RNA is filed under the name uncultured bacterium. Its description in RNAcentral is "partial 16S ribosomal RNA". It matches the Rfam family "Bacterial small subunit ribosomal RNA", at positions 111 to 334 of the family's 1533-position model. The record is from RNAcentral.
UAACGCGUGGGUAACCUGCCUCAUACAGGGGGAUAACAGUUAGAAAUGACUGCUAAUACCGCAUAAGCGCACAGUGCUGCAUGGCACAGUGUGAAAAACUCCGGUGGUAUGAGAUGGACUCGCGUCUGAUUAGCUAGUUGGUGGGGUAACGGCCCACCAAGGCGACGAUCGGUAGCCGGACUGAGAGGUUGAACGGCCACAUUGGGACUGAGACACGGCCCAG